This 77-nucleotide transfer RNA is filed under the name Coriobacterium glomerans PW2. Its description in RNAcentral is "tRNA-Met (CAT) (tRNA-Met-CAT-1-1)". It matches the Rfam family "tRNA". Rfam says of the family: Transfer RNA (tRNA) molecules are approximately 80 nucleotides in length. Their secondary structure includes four short double-helical elements and three loops (D, anti-codon, and T loops). Further hydrogen bonds mediate the characteristic L-shaped molecular structure. tRNAs have two regions of fundamental functional importance: the anti-codon, which is responsible for specific mRNA codon recognition, and the 3' end, to which the tRNAs corresponding amino acid is attached (by aminoacyl-tRNA synthetases). tRNAs cope with the degeneracy of the genetic code in two manners: having more than one tRNA (with a specific anti-codon) for a particular amino acid; and 'wobble' base-pairing, i.e. permitting non-standard base-pairing at the 3rd anti-codon position. Lineage: Bacteria; Bacillati; Actinomycetota; Coriobacteriia; Coriobacteriales; Coriobacteriaceae. The record is from RNAcentral. RNAcentral also lists the same sequence under 4 other names.
GGCGGUGUAGCUCAGUUGGUCAGAGCACACGGUUCAUACCCGUGGCGUCACUGGUUCGAAUCCAGUCACCGCUACCA